GUUUGCCUAGGCUAUGCACUUAUGGGGCCAAAUGCACUUUUUAUUCUUAGAUUUGACCACCACAGAGAAUUAACAAAUAGAUCAACCUAACAAAGAUAUACUUGGUGUUCUUGUCUCUCGCCUUGGAAGUAUGCUGACAAUCUCCAGCGUGUUGUUUCUACUGGAUGCCUCUAGUUCCUCCCUAGAUGCCACUGUUCUCUCUUGAAGUCACUCCAAUCAAGCUUUCCUCUGUUCACUCUACAGAAACUGUUCUUAUCACAGACACCAGUGACUUCUCCAGGUGAGCUGUAAACGUUUCUAAACACUGUAGCUCAUUUCCUUAAUUUGAGUGAGUACCAAGAAGAGGAACACUAUGUUUCCUGCAGUCGCCGACAUCGAAUUGCCUGGAACAUUCGGUUAUGGACAACACUGAGAAUCUGGUAAAAGCUAUGUUCUUCCCUGAAAAAAUGCAAAGUUUACAAUGCUGAGGGAUCGUGGACCUGAACACCUCAGGUGGUAGAAACCCUCUUUUGUGGAAACAGAUGUUGGUAUUCUCAUCUAAAAUGGGAGGAAAAGAGAAGAUUAAAAAACAAAUUAGAUAUCAUGUAGUGACUGCAAGUAAGCUCAAAAAAAAAAAAAAAAAAAGAUGAUAAGAGUGUAUCAAAGAGACACAAAGCCAACAGAAAGGUCUCCCAAGAGCCAAAUUUGAAUGAUUUGAGCAAUAAAAUAAAGUCAUAUUGGAUUAUAUCCCAAAGUAUAAAAUAAAAAUCUGUGAGUCCAUAAAGACAUGCACAAAUGAUUAAAUAAAUAAACAAAUGGAAGAGAACAGACAAUUCUCCCAUGCAGAAUUCCAAAUAACUGUAAUUCCAAAUAGACCCUUUAUUUUCAGGGUAGAAGAGAGCUCUGCAUUUCUCAGUGUGAGCUGUGCAUGAUGACUUCCUUCCAAAGAGUACAUAUAGGAAGGGGGAAAAGAGUUACUUUACAGCAGAGAAACCUGACAAAUACUAUCUCAACCAGAGGAUCAAGGUUAACCUCUACAGUGAAAAGUCAUGUCAACUUUAUGUACCCUUAAUAAAAUGUGAUGAGAAUGGCAAUGAAUCCUGUGGUCUUCCCCCACCAAAACACAUAACUCCAAUCCAACCAUGAGAAAAAUAUCAGACAAAUGGCAGUAAAGUGACAUUUUAUAAAAUACUUGACUAGGACUCCUCAAAACCAUCAUGGUCAUGUAAAAAAAGGAAGGUCUUAGAAACUGUCACAGCCAACAGGAGCCUAAGGACACAUAAAGACUACAUUUACUAUGCUGAAUGGGAUCCUGGAACAGAAAAAGAACAUUGGGUAAAAACCAAGGAAGUCUGAAUAAAGC
Molecule: long non-coding RNA, 1342 nt
Organism: Felis catus (domestic cat)
Lineage: Eukaryota; Metazoa; Chordata; Mammalia; Carnivora; Felidae
Exons: 4
Source: RefSeq, a predicted model, not a curated record